AGUGAACGCUGGCGGUAGGCCUAACACAUGCAAGUCGAACGGCAGCACAGGAGAGCUUGCUCUCUGGGUGGCGAGUGGCGGACGGGUGAGGAAUACAUCGGAAUCUACUUUUUCGUGGGGGAUAACGUAGGGAAACUUACGCUAAUACCGCAUACGACCUACGGGUGAAAGCAGGGGACCUUCUGUCCUUGCGCGAUUGAAUGAGCCGAUGUCGGAUAAGCUAGUUGGCGGGGUAAAGGCCCACCAAGGCGACGACCCGUAGCUGGUCUGAGAGGAUGAUCAGCCACACUGGAACUGAGACACGGUCCAGACUCCUACGGGAGGCAGCAGUGGGGAAUAUUGGACAAUGGGCGCAAGCCUGAUCCAGCCAUACCGCGUGGGUGAAGAAGGCCUUCGGGUUGUAAAGCCCUUUUGUUGGGAAAGAAAUCCAGCUGGCUAAUACCCGGUUGGGAUGACGGUACCCAAAGAAUAAGCACCGGCUAACUUCGUGCCAGCAGCCGCAGUAA
RNAcentral lists this ribosomal RNA (506 nucleotides) under uncultured bacterium. RNAcentral describes it as "partial 16S ribosomal RNA". It matches the Rfam family "Bacterial small subunit ribosomal RNA", at positions 29 to 523 of the family's 1533-position model. The record is from RNAcentral.